Molecule: ribosomal RNA, 421 nt
Filed under: uncultured bacterium
Lineage: Bacteria
Description: bacterial SSU rRNA
Rfam family: Bacterial small subunit ribosomal RNA
Source: RNAcentral
AAGGAAUAUUGGACAAUGGGCGGAAGCCUGAUCCAGCCAUGCCGCGUGAAGGAUGAAGGCGCUCAGCGUUGUAAACUUCUUUUGGAUGGGGACAAACCACUUCAUUUAUGGGGUGCUGAGGGUACCAUCAGAAUAAGCACCGGCUAACUCCGUGCCAGCAGCCGCGGUAAUACGGAGGGUGCAAGCGUUAUCCGGAAUCACUGGGUUUAAAGGGUGCGUAGGCGGUCUGAUAAGUCAGUUGUGAAAUUCCUCGGCUUAACCGAGUGGACUGCGAUUGAUACUGUGAGACUUGAAUCAGGUUGAGGUAGGCGGAAUGUGACAUGUAGCGGUGAAAUGCUUAGAUAUGUCAUAGAACACCGAUUGCGAAGGCAGCUUGCUAGACCUGGAUUGACGCUGAGGCACGAAAGCGUGGGGAGCAAAC